CAGCCGCCGCGGGAAUACGUAGGGUGCGAGCGUUAAUCGGAAUUACUGGGCGUAAAGCGUGCGCAGGCGGUUUUGUAAGACAGGCGUGAAAUCCCCGGGCUCAACCUGGGAAUGGCGCUUGUGACUGCAAAGCUAGAGUGCGGCAGAGGGGGAUGGAAUUCCGCGUGUAGCAGUGAAAUGCGUAGGUAUGCGGAGGAACACCGAUGGCGAAGGCAAUCCCCUGGGCCUGCACUGACGCUCAUGCACGAAAGCGUGGGGAGCAAACAGGAUUAGAUACCCGGGUAGUCCCUGUCUCUUAUAC
This 301-nucleotide ribosomal RNA is filed under the name uncultured bacterium. Its description in RNAcentral is "partial 16S ribosomal RNA". It matches the Rfam family "Bacterial small subunit ribosomal RNA", at positions 509 to 807 of the family's 1533-position model. The record is from RNAcentral.